CAAGCAAUGCUAAUUGCCACACUCAUCAGGUGAAUUUUAGAUUCACCUGAUGAGUGUGGCAAGCAUUGCUUGUC
Non-coding RNA from Paramuricea clavata, 74 nucleotides. The record is from the annotation of a GenBank genome assembly. NCBI's taxonomy places the organism in Eukaryota, Metazoa, Cnidaria, Anthozoa, Malacalcyonacea, Plexauridae.